This is a long non-coding RNA of Siniperca chuatsi (mandarin fish), 332 nucleotides long. RefSeq lists it as uncharacterized. Lineage: Eukaryota; Metazoa; Chordata; Actinopteri; Centrarchiformes; Sinipercidae. The transcript is spliced from 2 exons. The record is from RefSeq and is a predicted model, not a curated record.
UGAUGGCUUGUCAUGACAUGUUUGGACUCACCGUUGGUGAAGAGCGGCUCUGGAAGUUUCCUGAAGAAGGAUUUGAGUAAACUGCUGACAACAUUGAGGUCCUGCCACUUCUGUUGACAGCAAAGGACACAGAGAGGAGGUUGAUGUCGACGCCCUUGUUGAGCUGAUCCUGAAGCAUUGACACCAUGGCGUUGUUCCCAGGGACUCUGUAGAUCCCGGUGUAUUCCAGACCCAUCUCCUCCACCAGACCGCAGCAGAUCUCCACGAUCAGCGGGAUGAACUGAGAUGGACACGGACAGAAUUUAAUCACAAAUAAAACAUCCAGUAGAAAA